Molecule: ribosomal RNA, 229 nt
Filed under: uncultured bacterium
Lineage: Bacteria
Description: partial 16S ribosomal RNA
Rfam family: Bacterial small subunit ribosomal RNA
Source: RNAcentral
UACGUAGGCGGAAGAUUAAGUCAGUGGUGAAAUCCUGCAGCUCAACUGUAGAACUGCCAUUGAUACUGAUCUUCUUGAAUUUAGUUGAGGUGGGCGGAACGUGUAAUGUAGCGGUGAAAUGCUUAGAUAUUACACAGAACACCGAUUGCGAAGGCAGCUCACUAAACUAACAUUGACGCUGAGGCACGAAAGCGUGGGUAGCGAACAGGAUUAGAUACCCUGGUAGUCC